RNAcentral lists this ribosomal RNA (346 nucleotides) under uncultured bacterium. Its description in RNAcentral is "partial 16S ribosomal RNA". It matches the Rfam family "Bacterial small subunit ribosomal RNA", at positions 338 to 681 of the family's 1533-position model. The record is from RNAcentral.
CCUACGGGAGGCAGCAGUGAGGAAUAUUGCACAAUGGGCGCGAGCCUGAACCAGCCAAGCAGCGUGAAGGAUGAAGGCCCUAUGGGUUGUAAGCUUCAUUUAUAAAGGAAAAAAGUGAGGCAAGUGUGCCUUUUUGUAUGGACUAAAUGAAUAAGGAUAGGCUAACUCCGUGCCAGGAGCCGCGGUAGUACGGCGGGUCCGAGCGUUAUCCGGAUGUAUUGGGGUUAACGGGAGCGUAGAGGGGUGUUUAAGGCUGUUGUGAACGUUUGCGGCUCAACCGUAAAAUUGCCAUUGAGACUGGCUGCCUUGAGUACAGUUGAGGUCGGCGGAAUUCGUGUUGUAGCGG